AGAGUUUGAUCCUGGCUCAGAAUCAACGCUGGCGGCGUGCCUCAGACAUGCAAGUCGAACGAUUAAACUUUCCUUCGGGAAAGAUAUAAAGUGGCGCACGGGUGAGUAACACGUAGGUAAUGUGCCUUUGGGUGGGGAAUAACUUAGGGAAACUUAAGCUAAUACCGCAUAAUGCAGCGGCUCCUUCGGGAGACAGUUGUUAAAGAUUUAUCGCCUAAAGAGCAGCCUGCGGCAGAUUAGCUAGUUGGUAAGGUAACGGCUUACCAAGGCUACGAUCUGUAUCCGACCUGAGAGGGUGGUCGGACACACUGACACUGAAUAACGGGUCAGACUCCUACGGGAGGCAGCAGUCGGGAAUUUUGGGCAAUGGGCGAAAGCCUGACCCAGCAACGCCGCGUGAAGGAUGAAGUCUUUCGGGAUGUAAACUUCGUAAGAAUAGGAAGAAUAAAUGACGGUACUAUUUGUAAGGUCCGGCUAACUACGUGCCAGCAGCCGCGGUAAUACGUAGGGACCAAGCGUUGUUCGGAUUUACUGGGCGUAAAGGGCGCGUAGGCGGCGUGUCAAGUCAAUUGUGAAAUCUCCGAGCUUAACUCGGAACGGUCAAUUGAUACUGAUGUGCUAGAGUGCAGAAGGGGCAAUCGGAAUUCUUGGUGUAGCGGUGAAAUGCGUAGAUAUCAAGAGGAACACCUGAGGUGAAGACGGGUUGCUGGGCUGACACUGACGCUGAGGCGCGAAAGCUAGGGUAGCAAACGGGAUUAGAUACCCCGGUAGUCCUAGCCCUAAACGAUGAAUACUUGGUGUCUGGAGUUUUAAUUCUCCGGGUGCCGUCGCUAACGU
RNAcentral lists this ribosomal RNA (837 nucleotides) under uncultured Acidobacteriota bacterium. RNAcentral's name for it is "bacterial SSU rRNA". It matches the Rfam family "Bacterial small subunit ribosomal RNA", at positions 8 to 858 of the family's 1533-position model. The record is from RNAcentral. Lineage: Bacteria; Pseudomonadati; Acidobacteriota.